CCGGACUGACUGCUAUCGGAUUGGUACUAAGCCAUGCGAGUCAUUGUAGCAAUACAAGGCGGACGGCUCAGUAACACGUAGUCAACCUAACCUAUGGACGUGGAUAACCUCGGGAAACUGAGAAUAAACCGCGAUAGAUCAUUAUGCCUGGAAUGGCUUAUGGUUCAAACAAUUUAUUGCCGUAGGAUGGGACUGCGGCCUAUCAGCUUGUUGGUGAGGUAAUGGCCCACCAAGGCUAUAACAGGUACGGGCUCUGAGAGGAGAAGCCCGGAGAUGGGUACUGAGACACGGACCCAGGCCCUAUGGGGCGCAGCAGGCGAGAAACCUUAGCAAUGUGCGAAAGCACGACUAGGUUAAUCCGAGUGAUUCCUGUUGAAGGAAUCUUUUGUCAGUCGUAAAACCACAGACGAAUAAGGGGUGGGCAAGUCUGGUGUCAGCCGCCGCGGUAAUACCAGCACCUCGAGUGGUCAGGAGGUUUAUUGGGCCUAAAGCAUCCGUAGCCGGCUUUGCAAGUCUCCGGUUAAAUCCAGCUGCUCAACAGAUGGGCUGCCGGAGAUACUACACAGCUAGGGAGCGGGAGAGGCAGACGGUAUUCUGUGGGUAGGGGUAAAAUCCAUUGAUCCGUAGAGGACCACCAGUGGCGAAGGCGGUCUGCCAGAACGCGUUCGACGGUGAGGGAUGAAAGCUGGGGGAGCAAACCGGAUUAGAUACCCGGGUAGUCCCAGCUGUAAACGAUGCAAACUCGGUGAUGCAUUGGCUUAUGGCCAAUGCAGUGCCGCAGGGAAGCCGUUAAGUUUGCCGCCUGGGAAGUACGGACGCAAGUCUGAAACUUAAAGGAAUUGGCGGGGGAGCACCACAAGGGGUGAAGCCUGCGGUUCAAUUGGAGUCAACGCCGGA
Molecule: ribosomal RNA, 897 nt
Filed under: uncultured archaeon
Lineage: Archaea
Description: bacterial SSU rRNA
Rfam family: Archaeal small subunit ribosomal RNA
Source: RNAcentral